RNAcentral lists this ribosomal RNA (372 nucleotides) under uncultured bacterium. Its description in RNAcentral is "bacterial SSU rRNA". It matches the Rfam family "Bacterial small subunit ribosomal RNA", at positions 523 to 897 of the family's 1533-position model. The record is from RNAcentral.
AUACGGAGGGUGCAAGCGUUAAUCGGAAUCACUGGGCGUAAAGCGCGCGUAGGCCGCCUUUUAAGUCGGACGUGAAAGCCCUCGGCUCAACCGAGGAACUGCGUUCGAAACUGGGAGGCUUGAGUCCUGGAGAGGGUGGCGGAAUUCCGGGUGUAGGAGUGAAAUCCGUAGAUAUCCGGAGGAACACCGGUGGCGAAGGCGGCCACCUGGACAGGUACUGACGCUGAGGCGCGAAAGCGUGGGGAGCAAACAGGAUUAGAUACCCUGGUAGUCCACGCUGUAAACGAUGGAUGCUAGGUGUCGGGGAGCGAUCUUCGGUGCCGCAGUUAACGCAUUAAGCAUCCCGCCUGGGGAGUACGGUCGCAAGGCUGA